Molecule: ribosomal RNA, 229 nt
Filed under: uncultured bacterium
Lineage: Bacteria
Description: partial 16S ribosomal RNA
Rfam family: Bacterial small subunit ribosomal RNA
Source: RNAcentral
UCCGUAGGUGGAUAAUUAAGUCAGAGGUGAAAUCCUGCAGCUCAACUGUAGAAUUGCCUUUGAUACUGGUUAUCUUGAGUCAUUAUGAAGUGGUUAGAAUGUGUAGUGUAGCGGUGAAAUGCAUAGAUAUUACACAGAAUACCGAUUGCGAAGGCAGAUCACUAAUAAUGUACUGACACUGAGGGACGAAAGCGUGGGGAGCGAACAGGAUUAGAGACCCUGGUAGUCC